Long non-coding RNA from Monodelphis domestica (gray short-tailed opossum), 1515 nucleotides. RefSeq lists it as uncharacterized. The record is from RefSeq and is a predicted model, not a curated record. NCBI's taxonomy places the organism in Eukaryota, Metazoa, Chordata, Mammalia, Didelphimorphia, Didelphidae.
CCCAGAUCCCCGCUCACCACGCUGACCUCUUCCAUUGUGCGGCCCCAUAAUCCGGAUUACGUCACCGGAAUUACUGUAGGUGAGUGACGCCACCACAUACAGGGCUUCUCUCACUGACCGCCAAUGAAAGAGGUGCCCCUUCCGGAAGUGCUGGGGGGGGGGGGCGGAUACAUGGCCUCAGGGCGCUGCAUGUGGCCCACGGGCUGUAGUUUGGGGACCCCCUGCUGUAGGGACUUCCUUAAAGUACAUAGACAGGGAAUGUAGAGAAAGGACUUUUUUUUUUUUAAUCCCCCCAAAGUUCUUUGGAAUAUGCUGAGCCUGAAAGAGAGAAUUUGGCUUGCUGUCAUUUGGAAAGUUAUAUCACCUAUAAAUACAGAAAUGGAGAUGAAGGGGAAAUGUUGAUAUUUAUUGUACAAUCCCAUAUAACAUGACUGGAGGGAUAUUGGUAUUUGGAACACUGUGAUCUAAGAAGAAGAAAUCAAGACAAAAAACCCAUUGGACAAUAGAAAGAUAAAUGUGCUCAAGGCUCAGAGUUAGCAGCAGCAGCAGCAGGGGCACAUCAGGCCAAGAUGAAGAAGAAACUCAAAGCCAUCCAAACACACUCCAAAUGAUCAUGGGAGAACAAAAAUGCCUCACAAUCAAUCCUGGAGAAGCAGAACCAACAGAAGAAGGGGUAAAGUAGUGUUCUGGUCCAGAACAACAUCAGGAGACAUCAAGAAGGACUCAGAAACCAAUGAAAUACAGAAUAAGCAACAGUGGGAGGGAUUCAGCCUAACAAGGUCCUGAUUGGGAUGGACUGGGCAGAAUACAACUAGACCCAGUUAAACUGAAUAGCUGCAAAACUCCAUAGAGCAGGCCAACCAGGCCACUUCUGCAGAGUGCUCAACCUGAGAUUGAGGCAGCUGAGCUGAUCCUAGAUCCAGUACAAGUACAGCAUAGCACUCCUUUAACCCCAGGAAUGGUGCUACACUUCAGCAUAUAGAUGAAAUCAAGGGAUAAAAUAACUCCCCAAAGGAGAAAAUGACAGAAAAAAGUCUGAUACUAGAAAAAAAUAUUUCAAUGAGAGAGAUGACCAAAAUACAGGCUCAGAAUAGGACAGCAGUACAAAAAUGAAUAUGUGUGAAGCCUCAAAGGAAAAUGUGAAAGGAUGUCAAGCCUUCAGUGAACUCUUGGACGAGCCCUCCAAAAGGAUAGAAAAACAAGUAAUAAGAAAAUUUGAAGUAAAAUUAGAAAAGAAAAUGAUAGAAAAAUCAGUCGCUUAGAACAAAAAUUUACUGAAGAAAGUAGUUUCCUAAAAAGGAGAUGUAAUAGUACAAAGCCUUAACAGAGAAAAUGGCUCUUUAAAAAACAGAACUAGGCAAAUGGAAACUAAUAACUUCAUGAGAGACAGCAGGAAAUAAAUUGAAAAAUGAAAAAAAAUUGAAGAAAAUUUGAAAUCUCUCAUGGUAAAUAGUGUUUGGUAAAUGGUAAAUACAGAAUUGAAUGCAAAACUAAACAGAUACAUGCUGACCAAUA